UACGUAGGGUGCGAGCGUUAAUCGGAAUUACUGGGCGUAAAGGGCGCGUAGGCGGUUCGUCAAGUCCUGUGUGAAAUCCCCCGGCUCAACUGGGUAACUGCACAGGAAACUAGCGGGCUUGAGUUCGGGAGAGGGAAGCGGAAUUCCGGGUGUAGCGGUGAAAUGCGCAGAUAUCAGGAGGAACACCGGCGGCGAAGGCGGCACUCUGGGCCGGUACUGACGCUGAGGAGCGAAAGCGUGGGUAGCAAACAGG
RNAcentral lists this ribosomal RNA (253 nucleotides) under uncultured prokaryote. RNAcentral describes it as "partial 16S ribosomal RNA". It matches the Rfam family "Bacterial small subunit ribosomal RNA", at positions 524 to 776 of the family's 1533-position model. The record is from RNAcentral.